UGGGGAAUAUUGCAAAAUGGGCGAAAGCCCGAUGCAGCAACGCCGCGUGGGCGAUGAAGGCCUUCGGGUCGUAAAGCCCUUUUUGAGGGGAUGAGGAAGGACAGUACCCUCAGAAUAAGCCUCGGCUAACUCCGUGCCAGCAGCCGCGGUAAUACGGAGGGUGCAAGCGUUAUCCGGAUUCACUGGGUUUAAAGGGUGCGUAGGCGGAUAUGUAAGUCAGUGGUGAAAUCAACGGGCUCAACCUGUUAACUGCCAUUGAUACUGUGUGUCUUGAAUAUGAGAGAGGUAGGCGGAAUGUUGCAUGUAGCGGUGAAAUGCUUAGAUAUGCUACGGAACACCGAUUGCGAAGGCAGCUUACUAUUUCGUAAUUGACGCUGAGGCACGAAAGCGUGGGUAGCGAACA
This 403-nucleotide ribosomal RNA is filed under the name uncultured bacterium. RNAcentral's name for it is "bacterial SSU rRNA". It matches the Rfam family "Bacterial small subunit ribosomal RNA", at positions 355 to 774 of the family's 1533-position model. The record is from RNAcentral.